RNAcentral lists this ribosomal RNA (496 nucleotides) under uncultured bacterium. Its description in RNAcentral is "partial 16S ribosomal RNA". It matches the Rfam family "Bacterial small subunit ribosomal RNA", at positions 28 to 506 of the family's 1533-position model. The record is from RNAcentral.
GAUGAACGCUGGCGGCGUGCCUAAUACAUGCCAGUCGAGCGAACGGACGAGAAGCUUGCUUCUCUGAUGUUAGCGGCGGACGGGUGAGUAACACGUGGAUAACCUACCUAUAAGACUGGGAUAACUUCGGGAAACCGGAGCUAAUACCGGAUAAUAUUUUGAACCGCAUGGUUCAAAAGUGAAAGACGGUCUUGCUGUCACUUAUAGAUGGAUCCGCGCUGCAUUAGCUAGUUGGUAAGGUAACGGCUUACCAAGGCAACGAUGCAUAGCCGACCUGAGAGGGGGAUCGGCCACACGGGAACUGAGACACGGUCCAGACUCCUACGGGAGGCAGCAGUAGGGAAUCUUCCGCAAUGGGCGAAAGCCUGACGGAGCAACGCCGCGUGAGUGAUGAAGGUCUUCGGAUCGUAAAACGCUGUUAUUAGGGAAGAACAUAUGUGUAAGUAACUGUGCACAUCUUGACGGUACCUAAGCAGAAAGCCACGGCUAACUACGU